RNAcentral lists this ribosomal RNA (431 nucleotides) under uncultured bacterium. RNAcentral describes it as "bacterial SSU rRNA". It matches the Rfam family "Bacterial small subunit ribosomal RNA", at positions 29 to 507 of the family's 1533-position model. The record is from RNAcentral.
AACGAACGCUGGCGGCAGCCCUAACACAUGCAAGUCGAGCGCACCUUCGGGUGAGCGGCGGACGGGUUAGUAACGCGUGGGAACGUGCCCUUCUCUACGGAAUAGCCUCUGGAAACGGAGAGUAAUACCGUAUACGCCCUUUGGGGGAAAGAUUUAUCGGAGAAGGAUCGGCCCGCGUUAGAUUAGGUAGUUGGUGGGGUAACGGCCUACCAAGCCUACGAUCUAUAGCUGGUUUUAGAGGAUGAUCAGCAACACUGGGACUGAGACACGGCCCAGACUCCUACGGGAGGCAGCAGUGGGGAAUCUUAGACAAUGGGCGCAAGCCUGAUCUAGCCAUGCCGCGUGAGUGAUGAAGGCCUUAGGGUCGUAAAGCUCUUUCGCCUGUGAUGAUAAUGACAGUAGCAGGUAAAGAAACCCCGGCUAACUCCGUG